RNAcentral lists this small nuclear RNA (107 nucleotides) under Phascolarctos cinereus (koala). Lineage: Eukaryota; Metazoa; Chordata; Mammalia; Diprotodontia; Phascolarctidae. The record is from RNAcentral.
GUGCUUGCUUUGGCAGCACAUACACUAAAAUCAGAAUGACACUGAGAAGUUUGGCACGGCCCCUGUGCAAGGAUGACACGAAAAUUCAUGAAGCGUUCCACAUUAAA